UCCUGAGUAGCUCAGGGUUUAAGGCACUUGCUUUGAGCGCUAGAUGAGCUCUACAGCCUGGGUUCAAUCCCAGCUAUGUCA
This is a non-coding RNA of Megalops atlanticus (tarpon), 81 nucleotides long. The record is from the annotation of a GenBank genome assembly. Lineage: Eukaryota; Metazoa; Chordata; Actinopteri; Elopiformes; Megalopidae.